AUCCCAAAAUACCCCUAAAUUUAGGUUCCAGUUCAGUUCGGUUGCUGCAACCCGAAUACAAUUUUCUUUCGUAUCGUAGGAACCGAAGUAUUAUCUUCCAAACUGCAGAAGGGGUCGCCCUAUCUCACUUUUCCUUUCCUUUCACUUUCAACAACACCUUUGUCUAAUGUUUCCAUCUUCAUCUUCCUAACUUGUAGAUGAAAACAGAACAACAACACUUUUGUGUUCCGAAAACGCUUCAUGUUCAUCUUCCGAAAACGUCAUCUCAACAUCUCCAUCUUCCUUAGAUUCGGUUUCUAUAUACCGAAAAAGCUUCGAUUCGGUUUCUAUAUACCGAAAAAGCUUCGCUUCGGUUUUUAUAUACCGAAAAAGCUUCGAUUCGGUUUCUACCGUCCGAAAACGCUUAGAUUCGGUUUCUAUCUUCCGAAAACGCUUUAAAAGUCCAUGAAUUUGCGAUUUGUUUUCCAUGAAUUUGGGUUUUCCAUGAAUUUAGAGCUUACUUCAGAAGUCAGAUUGUGAACUUAUUUGGUUUGAGAUCAUGUUACUAUGAAUUUUGCCAAAAGUGGAGGACAUGGGAUCUAGGGUUCAGAAUGUCAAUAAAGAAUGACUAGGCUAAUUCUGCAUGAGUUGGAACCACAGGUACUAGAAAAUUGCCAUACGCAGCUGUCACAUUCUUUCCAUCUGAUGAAAUUCGAGUCCCAAGUAAAGGUGCUUCAUCAUUGAUUUUCCUCCUCUUUCUUGCUUCUGAUGGCAUCAGCUUGUUAAUGAUUGUUGUUUAGUGAUCUAAAGCUUUAAAAAGUGAAUGAAUAUAGUAGGUGAGGAAUCUGCUGCAUCGGUCUGUCUAUUGUGAGAUAAAAAUAUGCAAGUUUCACUGAAGUGGAAGGGGUAACAAUUGAAGCAAUAGCUGAGGCUAAAGGUAGUAACUAAAUAGGAACUGCCGACACCUUACACUUUAAUUGUUUAGGCGAUUUGCUUGUGACUUAGGCAGAGAAAAGAGUGCCUUCAUUUUGGCUCAAUGCUAUGAAAAACAAUGAUUUCAGCUGAAGAGGUAAUUUGGAAAAAGGAUUCAAUUGCUACUUACCCUUAAAUGCUUGAAUUUUUUUAGCCAUAAAAUUAAUUUUGUUAUGAUG
Molecule: long non-coding RNA, 1130 nt
Organism: Trifolium pratense (red clover)
Lineage: Eukaryota; Viridiplantae; Streptophyta; Magnoliopsida; Fabales; Fabaceae
Exons: 3
Source: RefSeq, a predicted model, not a curated record